Molecule: ribosomal RNA, 502 nt
Filed under: uncultured bacterium
Lineage: Bacteria
Description: bacterial SSU rRNA
Rfam family: Bacterial small subunit ribosomal RNA
Source: RNAcentral
GACGAACGCUGGCGGCGUGCCUAACACAUGCAAGUCGAGGGAGAAAGGGGUAGCAUUAUCCCGAGUACACCGGCGCAAGGGUGGGUAACACGUAGGCAACCUACCUUCAGAACGGGAAUAACUUCGAGAAAUCGAGGCUAAUACCCGAUAAUGCAGCGGCACCGCAUGGUGACAGUUGUUAAAAGUCGCAAGACGUCUGAAGAUGGGCCUGCGUCCCAUUAGGUAGUUGGCGGGGUAAUGGCCCACCAAGCCGACGAUGGGUAGCUGGUCUGAGAGGACGACCAGCCACACUGGAACUGAGACACGGUCCAGACUCCUACGGGAGGCAGCAGUGAGGAAUAUUGCGCAAUGCCCGCAAGGGUGACGCAGCGACGCCGCGUGGAGGAUGAAGGCCCUAUGGGUCGUAAACUCCUUUUGUGGAGGAAGAAUGUUUCGCUAUAGGCGAACGUGACGGUACUCCAUGAAUAAGCACCGGCUAACUACGUGCCAGCAGCCGCGGUAA